This 305-nucleotide RNase P RNA is filed under the name Thermoplasmata archaeon. RNAcentral describes it as "RNase P RNA component". It matches the Rfam family "Archaeal RNase P". From Rfam's summary of the family: Ribonuclease P (RNase P) is a ubiquitous endoribonuclease, found in archaea, bacteria and eukarya as well as chloroplasts and mitochondria. Its best characterised activity is the generation of mature 5'-ends of tRNAs by cleaving the 5'-leader elements of precursor-tRNAs. Cellular RNase Ps are ribonucleoproteins. The record is from RNAcentral. Lineage: Archaea; Methanobacteriati; Thermoplasmatota; Thermoplasmata.
GGGAGUAGGCGGGCGGCUGACGGUGAAGGGCUGGAUCGCCCUUCGCUGAGGAAAGUCCCCCCUCGCUCCGGGCCGGGGAGGUGCGAAAGCACCAGGGGCGAGAGUCCCUAACAGGGGAGCAGAAACGACACAGCCAGCGGGUAAUGCGAUGAUGGAUUUGAUCCUGAGGUCCCCGCUGGAUUUGUUGAAACGGCCCCUGUCCCCGGAGCAAGCCCAAGCAGUGGAAUCGGUUGCCCGGACCGUCCACGGGUGGGGCGCAUAGUAGAAUGCCGCCUAAAACAGAAGGGGGCUUACGGCCUACACCC